Brassica napus (rape) is the source of this 4519-nucleotide long non-coding RNA. RefSeq lists it as uncharacterized. The transcript has 2 exons. NCBI's taxonomy places the organism in Eukaryota, Viridiplantae, Streptophyta, Magnoliopsida, Brassicales, Brassicaceae. The record is from RefSeq and is a predicted model, not a curated record.
UAUUACAAAAUAAACGUAAUAAUGAAAAAAAUACAUGAAGACAUAAUUAUUCUACAAAUUUAAAUAUUACAACAACACCAAUAGCCUAAAAAAUUUGCUUAGAAAUUUCUAAAAUAUUGUCCAAAGAAAUGUUGUAUAACCGAAGAUACUACGGAAAUAAUUUUAUGUAAUACUAUGGUAUUUUUUUGUAGUUUAACAUUUAAUUAUGUAUUUUAUUUAUAAUUUUAUAUUUUAGUAUAAGAUUUUAUUAAUUAAUAUUACUAUAAUAUUUUUAUAUAUGUCCUAGUUAAUUAUAAUUUUUACGGAUUUAUAUUAAAUCUGAUUAAUAUAAAGAUCAUAGUGUAAAUUACAAAUAAUUUUAAAGUUAAAUUUGAAGUUUUGAAUUUGGAAAAGAACACUUUGAAAUUUUAAAUAUAGAAUUUUGAAAACUCUAAAAUAAAUUUUUUUUUUUGGAGAUGUUAUUACGCAUGCUAACGGUCGUAACGAAACGAACAAUAUGUCUUUUUAGUUUUAUCCCAUUUUUGUUAAUUGGUUAAUUGAUACAUGAAUAAUAUGACUGUUUUAUGAUAAAAGAAACAGGAUCGCACAAAAAAAGAAGAUCAGGAUUGUUUUUAAAGAUGCGACAAGUGUGAAAGCAUGCUAGAAUUUUUAUAUAAGCAAUUUAUAUACAAAUGAAAAAUAGGGAUACUAUAUAAUUAUAUCUAGUCAAGUUUUGUUUAAUAUGGCCAAUGUCUCACCUAAACACCUUUUAGACUUUUUUUUUUUUUAUGAAACAUCUUGGACUAUUUUCUUAACUAACUACACAUUUUAAACAUUUUUAUUAAGAACCACAUAAGUACAUAUAUACACAUUAGCAUAAUAAUACAUGAUAUUUAGAACUUAACAACUUUAGCAAGAAACGAGUAAAUUUCUCAUUUUCAUUGACAGAUUUUGUCGACUACGCUUUCCCCGAGUAAAUCUCGUGGAAUUCAAGUUCUUCCAAGUCCUACCAGACAUUUUUCCAAGCUGUACGUAGUGGAAACAAAUUAAUAAAUUUUUAAUAAAUCAAUAUGAAUUUUUAAUAAAUUUUUAUUAUGCAUUUGUUUUCGUUCACUACAUUUAAAUCCUUUGGUGUACCUCCUUCAGUUAUUCAAAGAUGAUUUGUUUAGAACUAUCACACAUAUUAAGAAUAUAACAAAAAUUUUAUAGUUAAACCAAUUAUUUAUUUCUUCUAUACAAUUUCAAAUAAUUAUCAACUAAUAACAUUUAAUCAGUUAGAAAUUCAAUUUAUAUUUUUUUUAAAAUAUAUAACUUAUUAAAUAUUAAUUAAUAAAAAUAUUUUAAAAACCUAAAAUUUUUAUUUUUGUGGAACAAGAAAACCUAUAUAAAAAUAUUUAACGAAGGGGGUAAUGCAUGUAGUAUGUAGACGUAGGCAAAAAAAUUAUAGAGAAAGUACAUCAGUGAAUACUUUAAUCAAAUAUUAAUUAAGAUAAAUAAAAUUUUGAUUACUAUUAGUUAAAUAGAUGUAAAUUGUAAUUAACUGUGUGGCCUGGAAAUUAAGAUAAACAAUUUUCUAUAUAUCCAAGCAAGGUCGCCUAGUGCUAGUUGAGCCAUGAUCUAGAGAAAAACGAAUAUACAUCCUACUGAAUGUAGUUCGUCUGAGUUUAAUUUCUACUGAGAACUAAAUCAUUUUGCUUAAACAUACUUAUGGGUUUUAGUUUUCGUGAUGAACUCGUGGUAGACUUGUCAGAACUAUGUCAACGUGUUACGUGCUUACUGCUCACCUGCAAGACCAGUAGUAGUCGGACUUUAGAGAAAGUAGGCUCUCUACACGUACGCGAGCAAAUCAAUGUGAAUCACAUGCAGCACAGAGAUGGAGGGAGAGAUCUGUUUGUUAGUGAGUUGGUAAGUCGUCGUACGAAGAGGUCAGACGUAAGAAAGAAGUCCGAUCACGUGGACCACAUGCUUCUUCACUAUCCAACCAAACCAAUAUUUAUUUUAUUUUUUCUGGACAUCCCGCUACUAAUAAUAAUAAUCAAUAUAUUAUAUUAUUAUAUACAUUUUUUAUAUAUUAUAUACAUACACUCCAAUAUUUUCGUACAAGACGCCGUAAUAGAAUAUGUAACUAAAUAGUUAGUUCCAUGUGACUAUGAAAAUCUCUCUCCUUCCCCGUUCUCUCUCAUCUAUCCUUCACGGGGAGAGACGAGAUUUGAGAUUUGUCUUGAUGUUCUCCGGAUCCUUUCCGGCGAUCGUCGCCCGUUGAUAGGCUUUGGCUCCGGCACAUGAUGGCAUCUUCUGCAUGAUGUGGCUGGCUUAUGGCUCCGGCGGUUCGCGUUCUUCUCGGCGGAACUGGCCGGCUUUUUGGCUCUGACGGUGGUCGUUCCUCUUUUGGCGAAACCGUCAGCUCUUGGCUCCGGUGACUCGACCUUCCUUCGGUGAUGUCACUGGCUCUGUCUAUGGCGAACCAUCUUCUUCUCUAUUGGUGUCGGUUCUUUCUCCGGGUUUUCUCCGGAAUUUGGCUCUUUGCUUGCGCGCUUCUCUUUGCUCCAAUCAGUUCUGAUCUCUUCAAUUGAUUGAUUCGAGAUUGGUUGAAGGUGAUUGGAACUCUCCAUCUGUAGCGAAGACCGUCUUACUGUCUUCUUUCACUCCUUCUGAGUUGUUGGCGAUUCCGUUGUUCGGGUUUCUGCUCCGGUGUGUCCGGUGAAACUCCGAUUAGGGUUCUGUCGAUGGCUCUCUAGCGGUGAAGGCAGUGUUGGCUUUGUCUUGUCUGAAGUUACCUCGACGGUUUAUCUCUCUUGGCGUCCUGUUCCGGUGUGUCUGGUGGAUGAUCGGAGAGUCGUUCCGGUGGUGACUUCCUCGCCGUGAAGUCGUGUCCAGCCUUCCUGCACGUGUCCCUUUCUCGCUGUGGCGUAUUACGCGUGGCAGGAGUUGCGGCUUUGUUGGGUUUCCUCUGGACUAGGGUUUUGUUUGGGCCUCUUUGGGUUUUUCUGCCUUUUUCGAUUUUGGUUUGGUUGGGCCUUUGGGCUUCUUGUAUUUGGCUUGUUCUUUUAGGCUUUUGCCAUUAUAAUAAUAGAGGAAAAAAAAAAAAUAGUUAGUUCCAUGUUGAUUGAUACAUUUCUAGUUUAGGUAAUAUUUUAAUAUUUACCCAGGAUUGUAAAUCACAUGGGAUUUAGCAUAAUGUUCGGAAACUAAUGGUAUACAUGUUCUUUUUUUUUUUGAGAAAUCUAAUGUUGUACAGGUUACAGUACAAAUACACCAAUCAUACCAAAAAAAAAAAAUUUUAUACACCAGCCUAACAUCAAGUAAAAUCCAGAAAAAUGUUACCAACUUGGAAGAGGUUUUAAAAAAAAACUUGGAAGAGGCACUCUACUGACUAUUCAAAGCAUCACUACUCAACUCAGAGAAGAAAAAAAAAACAUAAAGAGAAAAGAAAUACAAAAAUCAAAAUAUCUGAAGCUGAUAAAACCAUUCCGUCCGUCUCAUAAGAAAUGUCAUUUUAACAUUUUCAUACAAAUUAAGAAAAUAAAUAAAAUAUAUAUUUUUUUUAAUUACAUCUAUUUAAUCAACAGUAACUGAAAUAUAUAUAUUUUAUAAGAUUAUGUAUUUGCAAUUAAUAUUAAAAUUAACGUAAGUAUAAAUUGUAUUUAAAUUCUAAAAUAAUAUUAUUUUUUUGUAGCAAAAAAAAUUAGAAUGAUAGUUUUAUGAAAUAGAAGAGUAUGUGUUAAACAUGGUGACGUUGAACAUCUCCAACCAUUUUCUACUAUAUUUUUCUCUAAAAUAUAGAUGUCAAAAUAACAUUUUUAUAUAUUUGUUUAAAAAAAUAGAAAAGUACUACAUUAUAGUGGUAUACAUUACAAUAAAACCCACAUUUGUAAUACAGUUUCUCUAUUUAAAAAAAAACAGAGAUAAACUGAAAAUAAUUUUAUGAACCAAGGAUGAAAUUUGUGUUGGACUCAGUUUUUUUCUAACAUGGUUGGUUUUAUUCCUAAUCAGUUGACCCGUACCUGAUUAGGAAUGCGAUGAAGCUCAUCGUAACCAAGUAAGAAACAUGAUGACGAUCUUGAUGAUAGAUUCGAACAUUCUUUUCAUUCAACAAGUCAUACAUCGCGAAAAGGUUUGGUGAAUCAGAAAUGGGUCAUGCCAUUCAAGUUUCCAGUGAAUGAUAGCAUGUUCACCAAUUAAAUCACAUGGGUGUUGUUGGGUGGCGUAUGGCGUUUCAGGUUUCUAAAAGACCUGGAUUCGAAUCUGCGCCAACCUAGAUUUAGCCAUCUAUGUGGCAAGGCGACAUGAAUAUCUAAUUCUCCUUGGAACCAACCAGGUCUGGCUGGCGCUAGUGAUCAGACCCCAAAGAGACUAGUCGGUUGGAUCCGCCUGCCGGAUACUCUCGGUUAUAAAAAAAUAUGUUUCCAAUUAUAUAAACCCAUACAAUGAAAAAUAUAGACAUGCAAAUAAAAGAUUGACUGACACUCAGUCAUAUUUUCACAAGAAAAAUGGUUGGAAACUCUCUCUCAUCUUUUUAUAAUAGUAAUAUUGUUAUCUA